CAAUAGCGUAUAUUAAAGUUGUUGCGGUUAAAAAGCUCGUAGUUGGAUUUCUGCCGAGGACGACCGGUCUGCCCUCUGGGUGAGUAUCUGGCUCGGCCUGGGCAUCUUCUUGGAGAACGUAGCUGCACUUGACUGUGUGGUGCGGUAUCCAGGACUUUUACUUUGAGGAAAUUAGAGUGUUUCAAGCAGGCUUACGCCUUGAAUACAUUAGCAUGGAAUAAUAAGAUAGGACUUUGGUGCUAUUUUGUUGGUUGAGCCUAAAGUAAUGAUUAAUAGGGAUAGUUGGGGGCACCUGUAUUGCGUUGUCAGAGGUGAAAUUCUUGGAUUUACGCAAGACAAACAGCUGCGAAAGCGUCUGCCAAGGAUGUUUUCAUUAA
This 377-nucleotide ribosomal RNA is filed under the name uncultured eukaryote. RNAcentral's name for it is "partial 18S ribosomal RNA". It matches the Rfam family "Eukaryotic small subunit ribosomal RNA", at positions 592 to 976 of the family's 1831-position model. The record is from RNAcentral.